This 1244-nucleotide long non-coding RNA is filed under the name Nicotiana tabacum (common tobacco). RNAcentral's name for it is "long non-coding RNA (NTAB_LNC018213)". The record is from RNAcentral. Lineage: Eukaryota; Viridiplantae; Streptophyta; Magnoliopsida; Solanales; Solanaceae.
UCCGACUAAAAUCAUAAUUUAUUUAUAAAUUCUAAUGAGCACUCAAACAAUAAAUCUCUAACCCAAAUUACAUGCUAAAACCAUGGAGCAUCUAAUAGAGUAAUAGAAAUUUAACAAACGGGCAUGCAAACCCGAAAGAAAUAAUAAACAUAAGAUAGGUGGAACUGAAAUAACGACCUCCACGAAUAAUGCGACGGCUCACCCCGGCAACAGAAUCCACUCAACGAACUCGUUAGCCACUAGUCUCGUCCUCAACAACAUUAUCUGCAUGGACAUGCAGGUAAGGAGUGAGUUAUACAUAAAUAUAACCCAGUAAGAUCCUUGACCCGCCACUUUGAAUACCCCUGGAAUAAGUGUUAGAAAAUACAAACACACAACGAGCACAGAAAUAAUAUGCAUAGAAAUUCUUUCACCAUAUAAUUAUUUUAUAUGGUCCAAAUAAUUAUUCAACAACAAUACUAUAUAUAUCUCAACACAUUCUACACUAAGGAUUUGUAAUUAACAGUAGUGCAGGAAAUUAACCAAACACCCCAACGAGUCCACAACAGCAUACACAAUGCCUCAAAUCUACCACGACGGCAUAUACAAUGCCCCAAAUAUAUUACGGCUGCAAAGACCACCGAUUUUGCUAAGUGUACGCUCGUCCCAACACAUGGACCAUGCAGAAAAAAUAUACUUUCAAAACGGAUUUUGAAAAAGCAAGUAUCAAAGCUUAAAGUCUCACUUACUUCGCUAACGGAAAAUUUUCCAAUCUUGCAACGUCCAACCAACCAAUCAAACGGCCUCUAAUGACCUCAAUCUAUCCAAAAUAUUAAUUACGAUAUCAAUGAUGUUAGUCGGGGUCAAAUCUCAAUAUUCCUAACUUUUAGGAUUAGAGCUAAACCUCAACACUCUAUGCUUUAAAUUAUAAACGUGAAGGUAAAAUCAUAUCUCAAUAUUACAAUCUUAUAGAUACUUUAUAUGUAAUUUAUCUUUAUGAAUAACUCAUGAUCCAUGGGUAGUAAUUCAAAGGUAAAGAAAAUACCUUGAAACCUGUAACUUGUAGUUAUCAAAGUUGUAGCAAAAACUGAUGCCUCUUAGCUUUUUUCUUUUCGCACAAUUCUUAGUAGCUAAAACUGUUUCUUUCCCAAAUAUCACUUAGAAUAAUGAAUGGGUACAAAAACCAAAUCAAUUGGCAUCUUAAUCUCCACGUGAAGAGUGCCGUCGUUGGUUCUCGGUUUCUUUUCUUUGUGCGAGUUCUUUCC